Unclassified non-coding RNA from Papio anubis (olive baboon), 244 nucleotides. It matches the Rfam family "Metazoan signal recognition particle RNA". From Rfam's summary of the family: The signal recognition particle (SRP) is a universally conserved ribonucleoprotein. NCBI's taxonomy places the organism in Eukaryota, Metazoa, Chordata, Mammalia, Primates, Cercopithecidae. The record is from Ensembl.
ACCAGGUGCGGUUGCACACACCUGUAGCCCCAGCUACUUAGGAGGCUGUGGCAGGAGGAUCGCUUGAGUACAGGAGCUCUGGGCUGUAGUGCACUAUGCUGAUCUGGUGUCUGCACCAAGUUUGGCAUCAAUACGGUGACCUCUUGGGAGCAGAUCAAAACUCCUGUGCUGAUCAGAAGUGGGAUCACGCCUGUGAAUAGCCACUAUACUCUAGUCUGGGCAACAUGGCAAGACUCUGUUUCCA